This is a non-coding RNA of Podarcis lilfordi (Lilford's wall lizard), 2359 nucleotides long. The record is from the annotation of a GenBank genome assembly. NCBI's taxonomy places the organism in Eukaryota, Metazoa, Chordata, Lepidosauria, Squamata, Lacertidae.
GCCUCACAAUGGUGGGUGAACCUAUCAGUGAUUGUGUGCUUGUUUAUUGGGGACAUGAGUGGCGCUGUGGUUUAAACCACCAAACCUCUUGGGCUUCCCAAUCAGAAGAUUGGCAGUUUGAAUCCCCGCGACGGGGUGAGCUCCCAUUGCUCUGUCCCAGCUCCUGCCAACCUAGCAUUUCGAAAGCAUGCCAGUGCAAGUAGAUAAAUAGGUACCGCUGUGGCAGGAAGGUAAACGGUGUUUCCAUGCAAUCUGGUUUGCGUCACGGUGUCCCGUUGUGCCAGAAGCAGUUUAGUCCUGCUGGUCACAUGACCCGGAAAGCUGUCUGCAGACAAACGCAGGCUCCCUUGGCCUGAAAGCAAGAUGAGCACCACAACCCCAUAGUCACCUUUGACUGGACUUAACUCUCCAGGGGUCCUCUACCUUUACCUUUUACCCAAAUUCCUUGAUAGGGCCAAUGCAUGGACCACCAUUCCCACCACAAAAGGAGCAGACUGCACUGUGUUUCCAAAGGUGUCUGCCUGACCCCCAUAUUCUUCCAGGUUGACACAGGCAAUCUAGGAAGUCCCAUCUACUCUCCUAGACCUUUUCGCCACCGCCGCUGCUUCCUGCCCAAAGGAUCCUGCACUCUUAAAAAUGUAAGCACCUUUAAGAAGAUUUUCCAAAAUAUAAAAGGUGCCGGAGCAUCAUUCUGCCACCUUCCCUGGUGAAUCCUUUUGACACUGGAAAUAACUACUAAAUCAGAGGCCAAAAUUUAAGGCUUUAAGAUGCACAACUAGCUUUAUAUUUUUGGGGUGGUACUGUCAAGAUCUCUGACAUAUGCAUUGAAUAUUUGACCCUGGUUUGCUUUUCUAUCUGCAGAUUUUCUACGUUAAUUUAUUUCCUUUCUGUUACUAUCCAUGUGUAUGCUAUGUUAAGCUUAUGGGAGCGUUGAUUUUGAAAAUUUGUAAAAAUUACAAAUGGACAGUUUAAAAAAAUAUGAUUCACAAUACAUACAUAAAUAUAUAUACUUGGAAGGCAUUUCCAUUGAAUUCAAUGGAUGCUACUUGCAUGUAAAUAGUUACAGGAUCCCAGUCUUUUUGCCCAGUAACCAGUUAUAUGCAAAUUAUGUAAUCCUCUGUACAUUUACCCAUGAGUAAGCCCUGUUGAACUCAGUGGGACUUACUUCUGAGUCAGUAUGCUCAGGCCCGUGCUUUACUCAUCAGAAAUAGGCAAAUUAGCUAUAGCAAGAUUUUAAAAGCCUGGUAAUUUUACGUCAAUAGUUGUGAUUUUGUAUAGAUCUUAUUAACGUCAGAGAGGGGCGGGAAUGUGGUGUGUGAACUUGUUCCAUUUGCUUUGGGCAGGUAUGAGCUUUGAAGUCUACAGUAUCAUUAUGGCCAUUUAAAAUGUAAAACUGCUAAAUUAUUGCCAGGUUCUGUCAGGGGAACUUGUCCAUCCAGACAUUCUGUUCACUUGGAGUAACAGUCCCAAGCAAGGUUUCUUGAGGAAACACUUCCUGCUGAGCAGAGGUGGAGAACUUGUGUCUCUCCAUGUGUGGUUGGACUCCAUCUCCCAUCAUCCCCUGCCAGAACAGCCUGUGGUCAGUGAGUGACCACACAUGGUGAGUCCAACAACAUCUGGAGAGCUUCCAUAGUGAGUCCAACAUCAUCAGCUUCCCCAUCUCUGCCAUAGAAGGUCAGGACACUGGGAGACCUUGUUGUGAUUCAGAAGAAUUUCCCUCUCACGUCCAAGUCAUGGUCAGAGGGUCGUGGCAAACACGAAGCCCACAUUUUGGAAACCAGCAUGGAACAUUGCAGUGAGAAAUUGCUUUAAACCCUCAGAACAAUGAAUAAACAGGUACAGCCAAGGUGCCCUCAGAAUCUGUACAGAACGUUUUCCCAGUUAUUUAUUAUUAUGCAUUUAGAUUUCUUUCCUGCUUUAUCCCACGGCUUCAGAGUCUCAGUUGUCACAUAUUUCACAUUUUAUCCUCGUAACAACCCUUCUGUGACUGACAGGUAAGGCUUGCCUAAGGACAUCCAAUGAGUAUCGUGGGUGGAUAUGGAGGAAUUUAGAAAGUUGCCUCAUCUGCUAUUUGUCUGUUUGGCCCUAGAUUGCUUAUUCUGCUGGCAGAGGCUCUCCUGCAUUUCCAGCAGAAGAUAUUUUUUUUAAUCACUGGACACCUGAUCCUUUUCAAAACAAGCAAGCAAGCAAGCAGAGCGUAGGUGUUGGACCUGAGACCUUCAACACACAAAGUGAGAUUGAGCACAGACCUGAGUUUGCGCCUUCAGGGAUAUUCAGACCUGGUCCUACGUAUCCAAACUUGUUGAAAACUGGGUAUUGGGUAUUUUGCAACUUGCACCCAUUAAAAAAUGUAGCAUUU